RNAcentral lists this long non-coding RNA (290 nucleotides) under Panax ginseng (ginseng). Its description in RNAcentral is "long non-coding RNA (PGIN_LNC010104)". The record is from RNAcentral. Lineage: Eukaryota; Viridiplantae; Streptophyta; Magnoliopsida; Apiales; Araliaceae.
AUUAGCGUUUGCCUGCAGAUGACCAUUAUUAGUCAAUCAUUUCAAAUUGAUGGGCAGCGAAGUGAAUGAAUAAAUCAAAACUAUCGAAUUCCUUUAGUCCGGUAUUUCAUUCCUUCGUCCAUCAGGUCCGUGAUGGAAUUAUUGCCGAAUCGAAAUUUCAUUCUAUGGCUUGAGCUUCGGUAGUUGAAAGCUCUUCAAUUGGUACUUCUGUAGAGGUCGGCGAAGAUGAACCCUUUAUGUUGCUAUUUGAUGUUCAUCAGAUGGACUUCGGUAAACCGUAUUUUGGGCCU